GACGAACGCUGGCGGCGUGCUUAACACAUGCAAGUCGAACGGAAAGGCCCUGCUUUUGUGGGGUGCUCGAGUGGCGAACGGGUGAGUAACACGUGAGUAACCUGCCCUUGACUUUGGGAUAACUUCAGGAAACUGGGGCUAAUACCGGAUAGGAGCUCCUGCUGCAUGGUGGGGGUUGGAAAGUUUCGGCAGUUGGGGAUGGACUCGCGGCUUAUCAGCUUGUUGGUGGGGUAGUGGCUUACCAAGGCUUUGACGGGUAGCCGGCCUGAGAGGGUGACCGGCCACAUUGGGACUGAGAUACGGCCCAGACUCCUACGGGAGGCAGCAGUGGGGAAUAUUGCACAAUGGGCGGAAGCCUGAUGCAGCAACGCCGCGUGCGGGAUGACGGCCUUCGGGUUGUAAACCGCUUUCGCCUGUGACGAAGCGUGAGUGUCGGUAAUGGGUAAAGAAGCACCGGCUAACUACGUG
RNAcentral lists this ribosomal RNA (468 nucleotides) under uncultured bacterium. RNAcentral describes it as "partial 16S ribosomal RNA". It matches the Rfam family "Bacterial small subunit ribosomal RNA", at positions 28 to 507 of the family's 1533-position model. The record is from RNAcentral.